Molecule: ribosomal RNA, 482 nt
Filed under: uncultured bacterium
Lineage: Bacteria
Description: partial 16S ribosomal RNA
Rfam family: Bacterial small subunit ribosomal RNA
Source: RNAcentral
AUUGAACGCUGGCGGCAUGCUUUACACAUGCAAGUCGAACGGUAACAGGCCGCAAGGUGCUGACGAGUGGCGAACGGGUGAGUAAUGCAUCGGAACGUGCCCAGUCGUGGGGGAUAACUACUCGAAAGAGUAGCUAAUACCGCAUGCGAUCUAUGGAUGAAAGCGUGGGACCGUAAGGCCUCGCGCGAUUGGAGCGGCCGAUGUCAGAUUAGGUAGUUGGUGGGGUAAAGGCUCACCAAGCCAACGAUCUGUAGCUGGUCUGAGAGGACAACCAGCCACACUGGGACUGAGACACGGCCCAGACUCCUACGGGAGGCAGCAGUGGGGAAUUUUGGACAAUGGGCGCAAGCCUGAUCCAGCAAUGCCGCGUGCAGGAAGAAGGCCUUCGGGUUGUAAACUGCUUUUGUACGGAACGAAACGGCUCUGGUUAAUACCCGGGGCUAAUGACGGUACCGUAAGAAUAAGCACCGGCUAACUACGUG